This 253-nucleotide ribosomal RNA is filed under the name uncultured bacterium. RNAcentral describes it as "partial 16S ribosomal RNA". It matches the Rfam family "Bacterial small subunit ribosomal RNA", at positions 524 to 776 of the family's 1533-position model. The record is from RNAcentral.
UACGUAGGGGGCAAGCGUUGUCCGGAAUUAUUGGGCGGAAAGCGCGUGUAGGCGGCUCGAUAAGUCUGCUGUGAAAGUCCAGGGCUCAACCCUGGAACGCCGGUGGAUACUGUCGAGCUCGAGUCCGGAAGAGGCGAGUGGAAUUCCUGGUGUAGCGGUGAAAUGCGCAGAUAUCAGGAAGAACACCAAUGGCGAAGGCAGCUCUCUGGGACGGUACUGACGCUGAGACGCGAAAGCGUGGGGAGCGAACAGG